UACGAAGGGUGCAAGCGUUAAUCGGAAUUACUGGGCGUAAAGGGUGCGUAGGCGGUUGUUUAAGUCUGUCGUGAAAUCCCCGGGCUCAACCUGGGAAUGGCGAUGGAUACUGGGCAGCUAGAGUACGGUAGAGGAGAGUGGAAUUCCCGGUGUAGCAGUGAAAUGCGUAGAGAUCGGGAGGAACAUCAGUUGCGAAGGCGGCUCUCUGGACCAGUACUGACGCUGAGGCACGAAAGCGUGGGGAGCAAACAGG
Molecule: ribosomal RNA, 253 nt
Filed under: uncultured bacterium
Lineage: Bacteria
Description: partial 16S ribosomal RNA
Rfam family: Bacterial small subunit ribosomal RNA
Source: RNAcentral